RNAcentral lists this long non-coding RNA (2790 nucleotides) under Homo sapiens (human). Its description in RNAcentral is "HSALNT0281389". The record is from RNAcentral. Lineage: Eukaryota; Metazoa; Chordata; Mammalia; Primates; Hominidae.
GGGGGGCGGGGCGGGGCGGUAAGGCUCAGGCAUGGCGGGCUGCAGGUCCUGAUCCCUGCCCGGCGGGGAGGCAGCUAAGGCCUGGCGAGAAAUCGAGCACAGCAGCUGCUGGCCCAGGUGCUAAGCCCCUCACUGCCCGGGAUCGGCGGGGCUGGCCGGCAGCUCCCAGUGCGGGGCCCUCCGAGCCCACGCCCCACCGGGAACUCCCGCUGGCUCGCAAGCGCCGGGCGCAGCCCCAGUUCCCGCCCGCGCCUCUCCCUCCUCACCUCCCAGCAAGCUGAGGGAGCCGGCUCCGGCCUCGGCCAGCCCAGGAAGGGACUCCCACAGUGCAGCGGCGGGCUGAAGGGCUCCUCAAGUGCCGCCGGAGUGGGCGCCCAGGCAGAGGAGGCGCCCAGAGCGAGCGAGGACUGCGAGGACUUGCCAGCACGCUGUCACCUCUCACUUCCAGAACUAGCCACAUCUCUAAGGAGCUCUCAUUCCUGUUAAUGAAGAAUGAUAUUUACAAACCAAAAUCCAGGAACUAGGUUUAGGAGCAAGAUAAUGGAAUAGAAGCCUACAACAUUUGCUCUCCGACCCCACUGGAAAACCAAAUGACUCUUGGGUUUCCUGACACCAGGCCUAGGUGGUGGGACAGCAUUUCUGGACCUGCCCUGGGAAAGAAGGGAGCUUAACAGUCCUGAAAGGACAGACUAGUUCUCCGUCCCUUGCAGCUCAUGGGCUGAGUUCUGACCAAUGGGAUGUAGACAGAGAUGAUGCGCAAUCUUGAAAGGAUUUCAAAGAGAGGCUGUUUGCUUGACUGAAGGAAGUGCCUUUUGACAGAAGAUGCAAUUUAUGUUAUAUGAAUGAUAUUUCUGAUGGCCAAAAGGACCUGUGAUAGCCUGAGAGUCAAAGACAAGCAGGAACGCAUCUGUAGUCAAACAAGGUCAGGUUUAUUUAGUGGACUGCAUCAAAUAAGAACACCCCCAAAUAGGAACUUGGGGCACCUCAGUAAUGGAGAUUUCACAGGAGUUGUUUAUAUGUUUGUGCUUGUGCUUGAUAUUCCCAAGGCAGAUAUGGAAUGAAUCCUGGCUUGGAUUGGUUCUUGUCAACAAGGAGGAGCAGGUUAGCAAUCAGAUUCUCGGUAUUCAUUGUUCAGGUGGUGCUGUAUGUCCCCUCCAAAAGCAUGUUGAAAUUUAAUUGCCAAUAUAAUUGUAUUGUGAGGUAGGACCUUUAAGAGGGGUUUGGCUCAUUGAAGCUCCACCCUCAUGAAUAGAUUAAUGUCAUUAUCGUGGGAGUGGGAUUGUUAUCAUGGGAAUGGGCUCCUGAUAAAAGAGUGGUUUCUGCCUGAUCUCCUCUUUCCCUCUCUCGCAUGCUCACUUGCCCUUCCACCAUAUUAUGAUGCAGCAGGAGGGCCCUCACCAGAUGCUGAUAACAUUUUUUUAACUUCUCAGCCCUCAAAACUGUGAAGAAUAAUUUCUUUCUUUUAUACAUCACCUAGUCUGUGCUAUUCUGUUAUAGCAGAAGACAAUAAACUAAGACAGACAUCGGGAAAACAACACGGGCUUGGGGACAUCAUUUAUAAGAAAGUGAUAAUCACUCAGAGAAAAAAAUGAUUAGUCAUAUUUUCAGCUAUAGUGUGGCCUUUUGUAUAAGCACUGUAUACAAAAAUGCUAUAUCCCAUUGGAAGCAUUUUUUUUUUUUUUUGAGAAGGAGUCUCACUCUGUAACUCAGGCUAGAGUGCAGUGGCACGAUCUCGGCUCACUGCAACCUCCUCCUCCUGGGGUCAAGCGAUUCUCCUGCCUCAGCCUCCCGAGUAGCUGGGACUACAGGUGUGCACCACCGGGCCCAGGUAAUUUUUUUGUAUUUUUGGUAGAGACAGGAUUUUACCAUGUUGGCCAGGCUGGUCUCGAACUCCUGACCUUUUCACUUUCUCAAAAAGAAUAUUGUGACACAACCAUGAAGUGAAGAGUUCUAAGAUCCAACAUAGUCUCACUGAGUUGAUGCAUGUUUUUACCUGACUUCUGAUCAUUUUAUAAACAAUUAAAAUAGUACAGCGGGACAGGACCUUAGAAAUUGUCAUUAUAUGUAUGGAGAGCCUGGAGCACAUUCCCAGGGUCUGCCAAGCAGUUUGUGCCAAAAGAAGGAUUAGGACCCAGAUCUCUGACAAUUAGACAAGGAUCCUUCACAGGACAUCUAUUUUCAUCCUGGUACACACACACACACCUGUACCAAUUUCAGGGGUAAAGUAUUUUGCAAGUGAUUUACUACUAAUAAGAGUGAAAAUACUGGAGUGAUUCUCUAUUACUGUUUUCUCACUGUAAAAAUUUCAAGCAUACAAUCAUAAUAAAGUUAUCUCUUUACUUCAAUCUCCUUUCUCAUCUCCAUAUGGAUAAAUAUGUGUAUCUGACUAUUAUAUUAAAGUAAUGAUAUAGUAGUACAUAUUGUUUUGCUGUUGGCUUUUCCCAAUUAAUAACACACUUUGGAUACUGUUCUGUGUCAGUGUCAAUAAAAUCUGUAAACAUAGAUAACAUUAUUUUAUUAUUUUACAAGGUGAAGAUGUCCUUAAUGAUAUUCAAUAUACUUUUCUACAUUUACAGACUAUGUACAUUUUGUAGAUAGAACUUUUUUAUUAAAAUUAACGUUAUUAACCAUUUAUUUAAAAUACUCACAAAUAUUUUUAUUCAAAAAUUAUCUUGAGUAGUAAGGUUAUUGAGAUGCACAAUAAAUGAGCUACGUACUGCUUAUGAGAGAUGGUAGGCCAUUCUUUCUGUGGAUCAUAAGAAAUAUUUUAAAUAAAUAAAUAGUUUGAAU